CUGCGUAUUCCCUACUGAUUCCAGGAAUCCUGUUUGGAGGGUUUCCAGAUUCCCUGCGUAUUCCCUACUGAUUCCAGGAAUCCUGUUUGGAGGGUUUCCAGAUUCCCUGCGUAUUCCCUACUGAUUCCAGGAAUCCUGUUUGGAGGGUUUCCAGAUUCCCUGCGUAUUCCCUACUGAUUCCAGGAAUCCUGUUUGGAGGGUUUCCAGAUUCCCUGCGUAUUCCCUACUGAUUCCAGGAAUCCUGUUUGGAGGGUUUCCAGAUUCCCUGCGUAUUCCCUACUGAUUCCAGGAAUCCUGUUUGGAGGGUUUCCAGAUUCCCUGCGUAUUCCCUACUGAUUCCAGGAAUCCUGUUUGGAGGGUUUCCAGAUUCCCUGCGUAUUCCCUACUGAUUCCAGGAAUCCUGUUUGGAAGGUUUCCAGAUUCCCUGCGUAUUCCCUACUGAUUCCAGGAAUCCUGUUUGGAGGGUUUCCAGAUUCCCUGCGUAUUCCCUACUGAUUCCAGGAAUCCUGUUUGGAAGGUUUCCAGAUUCCCUGCGUAUUCCCUACUGAUUCCAGGAAUCCUGUUUGGAGGGUUUCCAGAUCCCCUGCGUAUUCCCUACUGAUUCCUGGAAUCUGCCAAUUUAAGGAAAACUUGAACAUUUUUGAAAAAUGACCAGAAUUCAUAACCCUAAUCCUGACCUAAAAAAACAUGUUAUUUUCCUGUGUUGCUUUUAUUGACAACUGAACUCAUAGUAUAUUUCAAUAGCAGCCAUUUUCCAUAGCAGCUGUGCUUUCCAAUCAGGAGCUGAGGACAACAAACGGCAUUCAACACGUACCCUAAAACAUACACAUCUGUCCCAAAACGCAUGAUGGAGUACAUUUUAAAAACAAGCCACCAAUAGACAAUGUGUACUCUGACAUUAAGACAGCAAUACACUGUAGGUAGGUAUGAUCUUCAGGCUCCACUUACAGUACAAUAACACACAUCAAAACAAUGCCUUCAUAGUAUUACACCAACAAAAGGCAAACAGUGAUUUUAAAAAGCAAGCAUAUAGGACUUGGUUGUGGAUGAGGUGGAAUGCAAUGCACUUGUAAAGGUUUGUCAGUUAAGGUUAUUAUCCACUCGGGAUAAGAAAAGGACGUUAAGUAGUGUGUUUUCAUUUCAAAAGGAAACUUAACCACAAAGCUUCUAAAAAGAUUGAUCUAAAACAUCAUUAUCAUCAUACAUGUAGAGGACUCCGCAGGCAUGCAGAUGGUUGACUGUACAUCACUGUAAAGACACCUUCUAUAUCUUAAUACUCUGAGGCUUCCUCUCCCCCUAAUAGGGCUGUAUCUCAAAACUCUGAAGAGGCUUCCUCAACCAACUAGGGAUAUAUCUCAAUACUAUUCAUGCUUGCUCAUUGUUUCCCUUCACUGAUGAUUUUUAUAAAAGCUACGGAGACGCACCCUGGCCUAGACAGAUGACCAUGCCCUCUUGUGCCAUAUUAAAGACAGUGGUUUUCUCAAUUCUAUGCUGGUAAUACAUUUCUUUACAGUGUAAAAUGACACACUAGUCACAACUGAUGCCAGAAUAUGGCAGUCCUAUGCUGCUGCGCUUCAAAAUAUGUUGGAAUCUAUAGCUGUCCCAAAUGGCAUCCUACUCCCUAUAUAGUGCACUAAUUUGGACCAGAGACUUAUGGGACACGUACCAUGUUGUACCCCACUGAAUAAAACCCAAAAUCCUUCAGAAGCUCUCCUAAUCGAGCGGAUGUCCCUUUUUCAUUAGAUGAAGCUGUUCAUAUUGCCAUUUGCCCAGACAUACUGCAAAUAACUUUGCUUAAGUAUAAUGCAGUGUCCUUAGUAUUGACAUUUACAUAGAGAAAAGUAACUGAGGCAGGAAUCCUUGCUUGGAGGUUAGGUGUCUAUAAAGCGGGCAGAUGUUAAGGUAAGGAACAGGAUAGAGUUUAGGGGGGGGGGG
Long non-coding RNA from Oncorhynchus masou masou (cherry salmon), 1935 nucleotides. RefSeq lists it as uncharacterized. The transcript has 4 exons. NCBI's taxonomy places the organism in Eukaryota, Metazoa, Chordata, Actinopteri, Salmoniformes, Salmonidae. The record is from RefSeq and is a predicted model, not a curated record.